CCUACGGGAGGCAGCAGUGGGGAAUCUUGCGCAAUGGGCGAAAGCCUGACGCAGCCAUGCCGCGUGAAUGAUGAAGGUCUUAGGAUUGUAAAAUUCUUUCACCGAGGACGAUAAUGACGGUACUCGGAGAAGAAGCCCCGGCUAACUUCGUGCCAGCAGCCGCGGUAAUACGAAGGGGGCUAGCGUUGCUCGGAAUUACUGGGCGUAAAGGGAGCGUAGGCGGAUAGUUUAGUCAGAGGUGAAAGCCCAGGGCUCAACCUUGGAAUUGCCUUUGAUACUGGCUAUCUUGAGUACGGAAGAGGUAUGUGGAACUCCGAGUGUAGAGGUGAAAUUCGUAGAUAUUCGGAAGAACACCAGUGGCGAAGGCGACAUACUGGUCCGUUACUGACGCUGAGGCUCGAAAGCGUGGGGAGCAAACAGGAUUAGAUACCCUGGUAGUCCACGCUGUAAACGAUGAGUGCUAGUUGUCGGCAUGCAUGCAUGUCGGUGACGCAGCUAACGCAUUAAGCACUCCGCCUGGGGAGUCGGUCGCAAGAUUAAAACUUAAGAAUUAGAGCGNGNGAGNGCGACGACGACGACGAGGAGGAGG
RNAcentral lists this ribosomal RNA (589 nucleotides) under uncultured bacterium. Its description in RNAcentral is "bacterial SSU rRNA". It matches the Rfam family "Bacterial small subunit ribosomal RNA", at positions 338 to 944 of the family's 1533-position model. The record is from RNAcentral.